This 958-nucleotide ribosomal RNA is filed under the name uncultured bacterium. RNAcentral describes it as "bacterial SSU rRNA". It matches the Rfam family "Bacterial small subunit ribosomal RNA", at positions 534 to 1500 of the family's 1533-position model. The record is from RNAcentral.
GGGGGGGGGUUUCGGAUUACUGGGCGUAAGCGUGCGCAGGCGGUUCGUUAAGUUCGUUGUGAAAGCCCCGGGCUCAACCUGGGAACGGCAAUGGAAACUGGCGGGCUGGAGUGUGGCAGAGGGGGGUGGAAUUCCAGGUGUAGCAGUGAAAUGCGUAGAGAUGUGGAGGAACACCGAUGGCGAAGGCAGCCCCCUGGGCCAACACUGACGCUCAGGCACGAAAGCGUGGGGAGCAAACAGGAUUAGAUACCCUGGUAGUCCACGCCCUAAACGAUGUCAACUGGGUGUUGGGGAAGCGAUUCCUUGGUACCGUAGCUAACGCGUGAAGUUGACCGCCUGGGGAGUACGGCCGCAAGGUUAAAACUCAAAGGAAUUGACGGGGACCCGCACAAGCGGUGGAUGAUGUGGAUUAAUUCGAUGCAACGCGAACAACCUUACCUACCCUUGACAUGUCCGGAACCCUGCUGACAGGUGGGGGUGCCCCAUCGGAAAGCUGAACACGUGUGCUGCGUGGGUGUCCUCAUCUCGUGUCGUGAGAUGUUGGGUUAUGCCCCGCAACGAGCGCAACCCUUGUCCCUAUUUGCUACCCAAGGGCACUCUACGGAGACUGCAGGUGACAAACCGGAUGAAAGUGGGGAUGACAUCAAGUCCUCAUGGCCCUUAUGGGUAGGGCUUCACACGUCAUACGAUGGCCUGUACAGAGCGUUGCCAACCCGCGAGGUGGAGCCAAUCCCAUACAGCCGGUCGUAUUCCGGAUCGCAUUCUGCAACUCGACUGCAUGACAUCAGAAUCGCUAGUAAUCGCGGAUCAGCAUGCCGCGGUGAAUACGUUCACGUGUCUUGUACACACCGCCCGUCACCCCAUGGGAGUGAGGUGAACCAAAACUAGGUAGGCUAACCGCAACGCGGUCGCUUACCACGGUCUGCUUCAUGACUGGUGUGACUCGUAACAAGGUAAC